Long non-coding RNA from Coregonus clupeaformis (lake whitefish), 843 nucleotides. RefSeq lists it as uncharacterized. The transcript has 2 exons. The record is from RefSeq and is a predicted model, not a curated record. Lineage: Eukaryota; Metazoa; Chordata; Actinopteri; Salmoniformes; Salmonidae.
GACAGCACAUGCUUCAGUGGUCUGGGAGUGUUUAUAUCCCUGUGAGUUUAACACUUCAUGACUGAGAGCUGUCCUUCAUGACAACAGAACCCACAACAACCAUGACUUUUAUCACCAUCUUCAUCUGGACACUUGCCCUCUGUCUCCAAGAGUCCAGAGGCCAGGUCACUGUGACUCAGACUCCUGCAGUGGAAACUGUUUCAGUGGGUCACUCAGUCAGUCUCAGCUGUAAGACCAGCAGUGCUGUAUUCAGUAACAGCAAUGGACAUUGGUUGGCCUGGUAUCAACAGAAACCUGAAGGAGCUCCUAAACUCCUAAUAUACUUUGCUAAAACACUUCAGUCUGGGACUCCAUCUAGAUUCAGUGGCAGUGGAUCUGGGAGUGACUUCAGUCUGACCAUCAGUGGAGUCCAGGCUGAAGAUGCAGGAGAUUACUACUGUCAGAGUAGACACUACCCCAACAGUGUCUGGGUGUUCACACAGUGAUACAGAGCCAUACAAAAACCUCCCUCAGUCAGACUGCACAGUGACUGUACUGCUCCAGCUGGGACCUACUGCAGGGGCUGAGGGGAGGAGACAGUGACAUGGAACACUGGACCUGUGGGUGUUGUCAGUUUAGGAAUGAUUUAACACGAGGGUGGAUAAGUUGACAUUAUAGUCAGCAUCACUGAUAUAUUAAGAUCAGUUUAUUUUAGUUCAGUCAGACCACAUAAAUAUGCCUUCCCUGUUGCUAUGGCAAACUAACCUUUUAUUAACAUGUCAGACAAUAAGUUGAAUGGACUCCAUCUUUGUGAAAUAUUGUCUCACAUGAUUUCAGAAUAAAUAUCCCAGUCUCUGCAAUGUC